RNAcentral lists this ribosomal RNA (481 nucleotides) under uncultured bacterium. RNAcentral describes it as "bacterial SSU rRNA". It matches the Rfam family "Bacterial small subunit ribosomal RNA", at positions 35 to 507 of the family's 1533-position model. The record is from RNAcentral.
GCUGGCGGCAGGCCUAACACAUGCAAGUCGAGCGGUAACAUUUCUAGCUUGCUUGAAGAUGACGAGCGGCGGACGGGUGAGUAACGCGUAGAAAUCUACCUAGUAGUGGGGGAUAGCCCAGAGAAAUUUGGAUUAAUACCGCAUACGCCCUACGGGGGAAAGCGGGGGAUCUUCGGACCUCGUGCUAUUAGAUGAGUCUGCGUCGGAUUAGCUUGUUGGUGAGGUAAUGGCUCACCAAGGCGACGAUCCGUAGCUGGUCUGAGAGGAUGACCAGCCACACUGGAACUGAGACACGGUCCAGACUCCUACGGGAGGCAGCAGUGGGGAAUAUUGCACAAUGGGCGCAAGCCUGAUGCAGCCAUGCCGCGUGUGUGAAGAAGGCCUUAGGGUUGUAAAGCACUUUCAGCAGUGAGGAAAGGGGUGUCGUUAAUAGCGCCAUCCUGUGACGUUAACUGCAGAAGAAGGACCGGCUAACUCCGUG